This 132-nucleotide non-coding RNA is filed under the name Atribacterota. Its description in RNAcentral is "Candidatus Atribacteria SAM-I sequence". It matches the Rfam family "SAM riboswitch aptamer (S box leader)". From Rfam's summary of the family: The SAM riboswitch is found upstream of a number of genes which code for proteins involved in methionine or cysteine biosynthesis in Gram-positive bacteria. The record is from RNAcentral. Lineage: Bacteria; Pseudomonadati.
ACCUUAUCCAGAGUUGGCGGAGGGACGGACCCUGAGAAGCCCAGCAACCUAUAAUACCUUAACUGAAAAUAUUGCGUUAUAGUAUUAUGUUGGUGCUAAUUCCCGCGGAAUUACAAUUCCGAGAGAUAAGAU